AACGCACAUUGCGCCCGCCAGUAUUCUGGCGGGCAUGCCUGUUCGAGCGUCAUUUCAACCCUCAAGCACAACUUGCUUGGUGUUGGGGAUCGGCCGCCGUCUUCUCCGUUGCGAGAGGAGGGCAGCCGCCCCCGAAAUGAAUUGGCGGUCUCGUCGCAGCCUUCCUUUGCGUAGUAAAACAUACAUCACCUCGCAAUCAGGAGCGCGGCGCGGCCACUGCCGUAAAACGCCCAACUUCUCAAGAGUUGACCUCGAAUCAGGUAGGAAUACCCGCUGAACUUAA
RNAcentral lists this unclassified non-coding RNA (283 nucleotides) under uncultured Hypocreales. RNAcentral describes it as "sequence contains 5.8S rRNA gene, ITS2, 28S rRNA gene". The stretch from base 1 to 52 matches the Rfam family "5.8S ribosomal RNA", at positions 103 to 154 of the family's 154-position model. The record is from RNAcentral. Lineage: Eukaryota; Fungi; Ascomycota; Sordariomycetes; Hypocreales.